Molecule: long non-coding RNA, 1085 nt
Filed under: Chrysemys picta bellii (western painted turtle)
Lineage: Eukaryota; Metazoa; Chordata; Testudines; Emydidae
Description: lncRNA (ENSCPBG00000018714.1)
Source: RNAcentral
CCCCUUGCACCUUGUUUAUAAACCCAGAAGCUCUAUUCCUCACCCCACUGGCAGGGACCUUCUCUUCCUUCUAACCCUCGGGAGUCACAGAUUCCAAGACCAGAGGGGACCAUUGGGAUCAUCUCGUCUGACCUCCUGGAUAACACAGGCCAUAGGGCUUCCCUGAAUUAAUUCCUGUUUGAACUAGAGAGGCUCUUGUAGAAAAACGUCUGAUCCUUACUUAAAAUUGGCCAGUGAUGGAGAAUUCCACACAGCCCUUGGUUAAGUUGUUUCAAAGGUGAAUUGCCUUUAUUGUUAACAAUCUGCACUUUUAUUUCCAGGAUGGAAUCUCUACUCUUCUCACGAUCAGGUGGGAUCUCCGUUUGCAUCCCAGUUCCACCAGGUGGCAAUGACAGUCUGACCUAGUGGCCAGUGCUCUUGGCCACUUCAUACCUACUUGAUGGCUAUGCACGAGCAGACCAAUGCCUCAUGAUGGAGACCUGCCCCUUCCAGUGUAUUCGACUUCGGGCACUGGUCCCCCCGAAGGGCGAAGAACGGUCACUGUAGGCCCCGAGAGGAAGGGCCCCGGAGUGACGCGUGAGGGUUGGCGACAAGACCCACCGGCAAUAGGCCAGUGGCGGUGAGUGCCGUAAUGUUGUCCCGAAUUAGGUGUGUUGCAUGAGUGUGGGUCGUGCGGUGGCCCUACCCUUGUUUCCCUCUUGGUGCCUCGGGUUGGUGCCCUGUGCCCCCUCUGGGCGAGGAGGCCCCAGGAACCUGCCCAUGAACUCGUAGGCAGUAGGGUAACCUAUCCUGUUCUCUCGAAGGCAGGCCGGUGCUCUCUGCUGGGGGAGGGGUGUGCGGGGACCGUGCCUUUCCUGGCCCUUCUGUUUGGUUGGCCUGCGACCGAGUUCCUCCCUUGAUUUUCCACUUGGAGCGGUCCCGCUUGGAGCGGGGGGCUCCCUUGUUGUACUUAAAGUACUGCACAGGAUCUUUUCAGGGGGAAUAAGACAAAACGCCACAUUUAUUAGUAAUACAUGUAUUCAUUAACACUGUAUUAUAUGCAUAUAAUAUAUUACACUUAACGCUCACACACACACACACACAAA